CCAGGCAAUUGGAGAAAGGCUUGUGAAAACUAGGAGAUGUAAGAUUGCAGAAGGAGGUGAUAUGUUUCCCUGCAACUGACAGCACCACCCACAGACACGCUCCAGCAGCUCUUACGCACGGUGGAGUCAGGCAGCCUGUGGAUAAACUAGCUUGUUCAGACCUAGAGGAUUGGCACAUCUAACUGGGACAUUGAAUAGCAAGGAAUAUGAAUGACGUGGAGCCACAGGGACAGAGUUUUGCUACAUUGCUCAGGCUGAUCUCUCCUCUUGGGCUCAAGUGAUCUGCCAGCCUUGGCCUCCUGAAGUGCUGGGAUUAUAGGCAUGAG
RNAcentral lists this long non-coding RNA (326 nucleotides) under Homo sapiens (human). RNAcentral's name for it is "HSALNT0160168". Lineage: Eukaryota; Metazoa; Chordata; Mammalia; Primates; Hominidae. The record is from RNAcentral.